AACGAACGCUGGCGGCAUGCCUAACACAUGCAAGUCGAACGAGACCUUCGGGUCUAGUGGCGCACGGGUGCGUAACGCGUGGGAACCUGCCCUUAGGUUCGGAAUAACUCCCCGAAAGGGGUGCUAAUACCGGAUAAUGUCUUCGGACCAAAGAUUUAUCGCCUUUGGAUGGGCCCGCGUUGGAUUAGCUAGUUGGUAGGGUAAAAGCCUACCAAGGCGACGAUCCAUAGCUGGUCUGAGAGGAUGAUCAGCCACACUGGGACUGAGACACGGCCCAGACUCCUACGGGAGGCAGCAGUGGGGAAUAUUGGACAAUGGGCGAAAGCCUGAUCCAGCAAUGCCGCGUGAGUGAUGAAGGCCUUAGGGUUGUAAAGCUCUUUUACCCGGGAUGAUAAUGACAGUACCGGGAGAAUAAGCUCCGGCUAACCACGUG
Molecule: ribosomal RNA, 433 nt
Filed under: uncultured bacterium
Lineage: Bacteria
Description: partial 16S ribosomal RNA
Rfam family: Bacterial small subunit ribosomal RNA
Source: RNAcentral